RNAcentral lists this unclassified non-coding RNA (1851 nucleotides) under Homo sapiens (human). RNAcentral describes it as "partial carcinoembryonic antigen related cell adhesion molecule 19, transcript variant 15". Lineage: Eukaryota; Metazoa; Chordata; Mammalia; Primates; Hominidae. The record is from RNAcentral.
AUGGAGAUUCCCAUGGGGACCCAGGGCUGCUUCUCAAAGAGCCUCCUGCUCUCAGCCCUUCCCUGUAACUUCCCACAGCCUCAAUCCUGGUCCUCUGGAUGCUCCAAGGCUCCCAGGCAGCUCUCUACAUCCAGAAGAUUCCAGAGCAGCCUCAAAAGAACCAGGACCUUCUCCUGUCAGUCCAGGGUGUCCCAGACACCUUCCAGGACUUCAACUGGUACCUGGGGGAGGAGACGUACGGAGGCACGAGGCUAUUUACCUACAUCCCUGGGAUACAACGGCCUCAGAGGGAUGGCAGUGCCAUGGGACAGCGAGACAUCGUGGGCUUCCCCAAUGGUUCCAUGCUGCUGCGCCGCGCCCAGCCUACAGACAGUGGCACCUACCAAGUAGCCAUUACCAUCAACUCUGAAUGGACUAUGAAGGCCAAGACUGAGGUCCAGGUAGCUGAAAAGAAUAAGGAGCUGCCCAGUACACACCUGCCCACCAACGCUGGGAUCCUGGCGGCCACCAUCAUUGGAUCUCUUGCUGCCGGGGCCCUUCUCAUCAGCUGCAUUGCCUAUCUCCUGGUGACAAGGAACUGGAGGGGCCAGAGCCACAGACUGCCUGCUCCGAGGGGCCAGGGAUCUCUGUCCAUCUUGUGCUCGGCUGUAUCCCCAGUGCCUUCAGUGACGCCCAGCACAUGGAUGGCGACCACAGAGAAGCCAGAAUUGGGCCCUGCUCAUGAUGCUGGUGACAACAACAUCUAUGAAGUGAUGCCCUCUCCAGUCCUCCUGGUGUCCCCCAUCAGUGACACAAGGUCCAUAAACCCAGCCCGGGAAAAGAGACUGGAAGGAAACAGCACAACAGAAGCAGCAUUUGUCUCCGGGGUGUGGAGGCUGCCCCUGCCCACACCCCCACACCUGCAGGCGGAGCCAGAGAACCACCAGUACCAGGACCUGCUAAACCCCGACCCUGCCCCCUACUGCCAGCUGGUGCCAACUUCCUGAUGGGUCCUGGGCCAGGCCAGCCAGGGAGAAGACAAGGCCCCAGCCCUCCUCUGGGAGCCUCACACCUGAGACCAGCAGGACAAGGCCAUUGGGGGCUGUGGGGCCGAUGAGGUGGACUCAGCCAAAGACUCAGCAGCACAUGGGGCAGGUGUCCUGGCAGGGGGACAGGAGACUGUAACAGGCCCAGGUCCUUGUGCAGCCCGUGAAUGCACGCCCGCCUUCGGUCUGUUCCUUCAAGCAAGCUGGCCUGGGCCAUGUGCCUGUGAAAGGCAGGCUCUGGCCCCUUUCCAUGCCAAAGUCCCCCAAGAUCUGGAUAUCUGGGGACAAGAUGGUGGCCUCAGGCCUGCCUCCCAGGCAGUUGGCUGGGCUCCCAACUGUCUGUCCUCAAUGCCCUACCCCAACUCCACUAGUGACCCUCAGAGUCUUCUCCCCUUAGGACAAGGCAGACACCCCACCAUGCGGGCCUCAGGUGGCAGAGAGGCCCAGCCUCACAGGCCUGUGGCCCCACACACCAGUCCCAGCAAGGUGACCACGGCUGCUGGACCCCUUCCCUGUUCAGGCAGGCCCAGCCCCUCUCAGAACCUGCUGCCAGCUGCUGGUCUUGGCCCCCACCCUGAAUCUUACUGAGUCCCUCUGGGCAGCAGCUCCCUUCUCCACCCCACCCCAGCACCCGUCCCAAAUGUGGCCUCAGCUUGUCCUCCCCUUCCCCAAACUAUGCAUUCAUUCAGCAAUAAAUGAGCCUUUGCUGUAUGCCAGACCCAGUUCUAGGCUCUUGCAGCCCUGGUAGAAAGCAAAACAAAAACUCCCGCUUUCCCAGAGGGUCACUUGGCAGGGGAAAGAAUCAGGAAAUAAAAUAAAUAAUGAA